CCUACGGGAGGCAGCAGUGAGGAAUAUUGGUCAAUGGUCGGGAGACUGAACCAGCCAAGCCGCGUGAGGGAGGAAGGUACAGAGUAUCGUAAACCUCUUUUGUCAGGGAACAAAGGCGGGGACGUGUCCCCGGAUGAGUGUACCUGAAGAAAAAGCAUCGGCUAACUCCGUGCCAGCAGCCGCGGUAAUACGGAGGAUGCGAGCGUUAUCCGGAUUGAUUGGGUUUAAGGGGUGCGCAGGCGGUCUGUUAAGUCAGCGGGAAAAGCCCGGGCUGCAACCCCGGCCCGCCGUUGAAACUGGCAGUCGCGAGUUGGAGAGAAGUAUGCGGAAUGCGCGGUGUAGCGGUGAAAUGCAUAGAGAUCGCGCAGAACUCCGAUUGCGAAGGCAGCAUGCCGGCUCCACACUGACGCUGAGGCACGAAAGCGUGGGUAUCGAACAGGAUUAGAUACCCUAGUAGUC
Molecule: ribosomal RNA, 459 nt
Filed under: uncultured bacterium
Lineage: Bacteria
Description: partial 16S ribosomal RNA
Rfam family: Bacterial small subunit ribosomal RNA
Source: RNAcentral